This is a long non-coding RNA of Homo sapiens (human), 892 nucleotides long. RefSeq lists it as uncharacterized. The record is from RefSeq and is a predicted model, not a curated record. The transcript is spliced from 4 exons. NCBI's taxonomy places the organism in Eukaryota, Metazoa, Chordata, Mammalia, Primates, Hominidae.
GGAACCAGAGGGUAAAGUGCUUUACCUGAGGCUGCCAGAAAGCUGGGCCAGGAUCUCAGCCCAAGCAUUUCAUGCUAGGGAUCAUGUUUCUCACCAUUGUGCCAUCUCUGAGAAAGGAAUUCCAGAAGAAUGGAAUACAGAAAAGCAAAGGGAGAAAAUUACCAAGGAAAUAAUAGAAGACAGUUUCUCAAGACUCAAGAAUGACAUAGAUUUUUAAUUUGAAAGAGGACCAUUGAGAGCCAUGUGGAAUGAAGGGAGACAUCUAGACACAGCAACAAGGGUAGAGGACCACUCACUUGUCAAAUUUGUUUGUACCUAGAAGUGAGCAGAUGAACACCUCGGGGCAUCCCUUAGGGAAUGUGGGAGCAGAUGAAUAAAUUCCCAAGCUGAUCCUCAGAAUUUAAAAUUCCGUGGAAAUGGCUCAUGUCACAAGACUUCUGUGUGGUGCUGGCCAGCACCAGGAAGGAGAGCAGCCCAGGAAAGGAAAACCAAACCAAUGUGGCUGCAUGUUUUCACGCCUUUGAAAAGGUUUGGGUUUGGCUCAAAUGAAGAAAAAGCACUUGGGGUUUUUAUUUUGUGCCAGUUUUUUCAAAUACCAUUUACCUGACUCAUGAAGCUUUGAACAUCAGGAAGAAACAAGGGAGUGAAUAAAUUUUCAAUAUUCUUGAGGUUCAAACAUACUUGGAACAAGACUCCUUGCUGGGAGAAAGAACAGAAUACCGUUGGAGCAAGAUGUAUUCAUCCCCACCUUGCUGGGGGUCACAGUGACAAUGCAAUUUGUUUAUCAGUCAACUCAUUAUGUACCAGAAAUAGAGGUGAGAUCAAGGUAUACAAGACUUAGUUUUUCCCUUUAGAUAGAUCACAUGAGUAACAGGGACUAACCUGAAUUAUC